Molecule: ribosomal RNA, 2389 nt
Filed under: Spumella elongata
Lineage: Eukaryota; Chrysophyceae; Chromulinales; Chromulinaceae
Description: partial Bacterial large subunit ribosomal RNA
Rfam family: Bacterial large subunit ribosomal RNA
Source: RNAcentral
GGAGUGAAAUAGAUCCUGAAACCGUAUGCAUACAAACAGUAGGAGCCUCCUUGUGGGGUGACUGCGUACCUUUUGUAUAAUGGGUCAGCGACUUACAUUCAGUGGCAAGGUUAACCGAAUAGGGAAGCCGUAGCGAAAGCGAGUCCGAAUAGGGCGAUUCAGUCGCUGGGUGUAGACCCGAAACCAGAUGAUCUAUCCAUGGCCAGGUUGAAGGCACGGUAACACGUGCUGGAGGACCGAACCCACUAAUGUUGAAAAAUUAGGGGAUGAGCUGUGGAUAGGGGUGAAAGGCUAAACAAAUCUGGAAAUAGCUGGUUCUCUCCGAAAACUAUUUAGGUAGUGCCUCAAGUAUUACCGUCGGGGGUAGAGCACUGUUUAGGCUAGGGGGUCAUGGCGACUUACCAAACCUAUGCAAACUCCGAAUACCGACGAGUACAGCUUGGGAGACAGAGCACCGGGUGCUAACGUCCGGACUCAAGAGGGAAACAACCCAGACCGCCAGCUAAGGUCCCGAAUUAUCGCUAAGUGGGAAACGAAGUGGGAAGGCUAAAACAGUCAGGAUGUUGGCUUAGAAGCAGCCAUCAUUUAAAGAAAGCGUAAUAGCUCACUGAUCGAGUCGUCCUGCGCGGAAGAUGUAACGGGGCUAAGCGAUAAACCGAAGCUGCGGGUGUGCACUUUUAGUGCACGCGGUAGGAGAGCGUUCUGUAAGCCUGCGAAGGUGGCUUGUAAAGGCUGCUGGAGGUAUCAGAAGUGCGAAUGCUGACAUGAGUAGCGAUAAAGGGGGUGAAAAGCCCCCUCGCCGUAAGCGCAAGGUUUUCUACGCAACGUUCAUCGGCGUAGAGUGAGUCGGCCCCUAAGGCGAGGCAGAGAUGCGUAGCUGAUGGGAAACAGGUCAAUAUUCCUGUACCGAUCAAUAGUGCGAUGUGGGGACGGAGAAGGUUAGCUCAGCCAACUGUUGGAUAUGUUGGUUCAAGCCUGUAGUCGUGCUCGGUAGGCAAAUCCGCCGGGCUUAGAUGAGGGGUGAUAACGAGUCUGCUUGCAGACGAAGUGAGUGAUACCCUGCUUCCAGGAAAAGCCACUAAGCUUCAGCUAUUGACGACCGUACCGCAAACCGACACUGGUGCGCGAGAUGAGUAUUCUAAGGCGCUUGAGAGAACUCAGGAGAAGGAACUCGGCAAAUUGAUACCGUAACUUCGGGAGAAGGUAUGCCCCAAGUAGGUGAACCUGUACAAGGCGAGCCCAACGGGGUUGCAAAAAAUCGGUGGCUGCGACUGUUUAAUAAAAACACAGCACUCUGCAAACACGAAAGUGGACGUAUAGGGUGUGACGCCUGCCCGGUGCUGGAAGAUUAAAUGAUGGGGUGCAAGCUCUUGAUUGAAGUCCCAGUAAACGGCGGCCGUAACAAUAACGGUCCUAAGGUAGCGAAAUUCCUUGUCGGGUAAGUUCCGACCUGCACGAAUGGCGUAACGAUGGCCACACUGUCUCCUCCUGAGACUCAGCGAAGUUGAAAUGUUUGUGAUGAUGCAAUCUCCCCGCGGAAAGACGGAAAGACCCCAUGAACCUUUACUGUAGCUUUGUAUUGGACUUUGAACAGAUCUGUGUAGGAUAGGUGGGAGGCUUUGAAGUGAUGUCGCUAGAUGUCAUGGAGCCAACGUUGAAAUACCACCCUGGUGUGUUUGAGGUUCUAACCUAGGUCCAUUAUCUGGAUCGGGGACAGUGCAUGGUAGGCAGUUUGACUGGGGCGGUCUCCUCCCAAAGCGUAACGGAGGAGUUCGAAGGUACGCUAGUUACGGUCGGACAUCGUGACGAUAGUGCAAUGGCAUAAGCGUGCUUAACUGCGAGACUGACAAGUCGAGCAGAUGCGAAAGCAGGACAUAGUGAUCCGGUGGUUCUGUAUGGAAGGGCCAUCGCUCAACGGAUAAAAGGUACUCUGGGGAUAACAGGCUGAUACCGCCCAAGAGUUCAUAUCGACGGCGGUGUUUGGCACCUCGAUGUCGGCUCAUCUCAUCCUGGGGCUGUAGCCGGUCCCAAGGGUAUGGCUGUUCGCCAUUUAAAGAGGUACGUGAGCUGGGUUUAAAACGUCGUGAGACAGUUUGGUCCCUAUCUUCCGUGGGCGCUGCAGAUUUGAGGAAGCCUGCUCCUAGUACGAGAGGACCGGAGUGGACGUACCUCUGGUGUACCGGUUGUCAUGCCAAUGGCAUUGCCGGGUAGCUAAGUACGGAAGAGAUAACCGCUGAAGGCAUCUAAGCGGGAAACUCGUCUGAAGAUUAGGUAUCCCGGGGACUUGAUCCCCCUAAAGAGUCGUUCGAGACCAGGACGUUGAUAGGUCGGGUGUGGAAGCGCAGUAAUGCGUUAAGCUAACCGAUACUAAUUGCUCGUGAGGCUUGAU